This 232-nucleotide ribosomal RNA is filed under the name uncultured bacterium. RNAcentral describes it as "partial 16S ribosomal RNA". It matches the Rfam family "Bacterial small subunit ribosomal RNA", at positions 333 to 582 of the family's 1533-position model. The record is from RNAcentral.
CUACUCCUACGGGGCGCAGCAGUGGGGAAUAUUGCACAAUGGGGGAAACCCUGAUGCAGCGACGCCGCGUGAGUGAGGAAGAAUUUCGGUAUGUAAAGCUCUAUCAGCAGGGAAGAAAAUGACGGUACCUGACCAAGAAGCCCCGGCUAACUACGUGCCAGCAGCCGCGGUAAUACGUAGGGGGCAAGCGUUAUCCGGAUUUACUGGGUGUAAAGGGAGCGUAGACGGAUAA